This 423-nucleotide long non-coding RNA is filed under the name Elaeis guineensis (African oil palm). Its description in RNAcentral is "long non-coding RNA (EGUI_LNC067631)". Lineage: Eukaryota; Viridiplantae; Streptophyta; Magnoliopsida; Arecales; Arecaceae. The record is from RNAcentral.
GAAUAUUUUUAUCCUUCCAUCCGGCUACCAUCAUUCUCCAUGCCAACACCAUCCUUCUCUACCUAGAAACCAUUGAACCAGCCAUCCAAACUCUCUCCAAGCUAUCCCCUCUUUCUUUCAUCCUCGUACCACAAACAAUGAGCCGGCCACCACCGUUUUUCACACCUCCCUCCAUACCUCACUUAGGCUAGCUAUCCAAACACCCAAAAACCUCCACAAUCCAUCACACGCCACACCCUCUUCCAUCCCUCUAUCUCCACAACCUUCAACUUUUUUCUCCAUAAAAUCCUUUCCUCCAACUUCUGAGUUCUUCUUCAAGCCCGUGAAAAGAAGUCUACAUAAUUCCAAGAUGAAGAUUUUAGUGAGAAACUUCCCAAUAGCCGGCUAGUUGUCACAUUCUCAGAUUUCUGCAAUCUUAUUUGG